AUUGAACGCUGGCGGCAUGCCUUACACAUGCAAGUCGAACGGUAACAGGUCUUCGGAUGCUGACGAGUGGCGAACGGGUGAGUAAUACAUCGGAACGUGCCUAGUAGUGGGGGAUAACUACUCGAAAGAGUGGCUAAUACCGCAUGAGAUCUACGGAUGAAAGCAGGGGAUCGCAAGACCUUGUGCUACUAGAGCGGCCGAUGGCAGAUUAGGUAGUUGGUGGGAUAAAAGCUUACCAAGCCGACGAUCUGUAGCUGGUCUGAGAGGACGAGCAGCAACUCUGGGCCUGGGACACGGCCCAGACUCCUACGGGAGGCAGCAGUUGGGAAUUUUGGACAAUGGGCGCAAGCCUGAUCCAGCAAUGCCGCGUGCAGGAUGAAGGCCUUCGGGUUGUAAACUGCUUUUGUACGGAACGAAAAGCCCUGGGUUAAUACCCUGGGGUCAUGACGGUACCGUAAGAAUAAGCACCGGCUAACUACGUGCCAGCAGCCGCCGUAA
RNAcentral lists this ribosomal RNA (498 nucleotides) under uncultured bacterium. RNAcentral describes it as "partial 16S ribosomal RNA". It matches the Rfam family "Bacterial small subunit ribosomal RNA", at positions 30 to 523 of the family's 1533-position model. The record is from RNAcentral.